GACGAACGCUGGCGGCGUGCCUAAUACAUGCAAGUAGAACGCUGAAGGAGGAGCUUGCUUCUCUGGAUGAGUUGCGAACGGGUGAGUAACGCGUAGGUAACCUGCCUGGUAGCGGGGGAUAACUAUUGGAAACGAUAGCUAAUACCGCAUAAGAGUAGAUGUUGCAUGACAUUUGCUUAAAAGGUGCGAUUGCAUCACUACCAGAUGGACCUGCGUUGUAUUAGCUAGUUGGUGGGGUAACGGCUCACCAAGGCGACGAUACAUAGCCGACCUGAGAGGGUGAUCGGCCACACUGGGACUGAGACACGGCCCAGACUCCUACGGGAGGCAGCAGUAGGGAAUCUUCGGCAAUGGACGGAAGUCUGACCGAGCAACGCCGCGUGAGUGAAGAAGGGUUUCGGAUCGUAAAGCUCUGUUGUAAGAGAAGAACGAGUGUGAGAGUGGAAAGUUCACACUGUGACGGUAUCUUACCAGAAAGGGACGGCUAACUACGUG
RNAcentral lists this ribosomal RNA (495 nucleotides) under uncultured bacterium. RNAcentral describes it as "partial 16S ribosomal RNA". It matches the Rfam family "Bacterial small subunit ribosomal RNA", at positions 28 to 507 of the family's 1533-position model. The record is from RNAcentral.